Molecule: ribosomal RNA, 453 nt
Filed under: uncultured organism
Description: partial 16S ribosomal RNA
Rfam family: Bacterial small subunit ribosomal RNA
Source: RNAcentral
CGUACACUCCUGCGGGAGGCAGCAGUGGGGAAUAUUGGACAAUGGGCGCAAGCCUGAUCCAGCCAUGCCGCGUGAGUGAUGAAGGCCCUAGGGUUGUACAGCUCUUUCACCGGUGAAGAUAAUGACGGUAACCGGAGAAGAAGCCCCGGCUAACUUCGUGCCAGCAGCCGCGGUAAUACGAAGGGGGCUAGCGUUGUUCGGAUUUACUGGGCGUAAAGCGCACGUAGGCGGACUAUUAAGUCAGGGGUGAAAUCCCGGGGCUCAACCCCGGAACUGCCUUUGAUACUGGUAGUCUUGAGUUCGAGAGAGGUGAGUGGAAUUCCGAGUGUAGAGGUGAAAUUCGUAGAUAUUCGGAGGAACACCAGUGGCGAAGGCGGCUCACUGGCUCGAUACUGACGCUGAGGUGCGAAAGCGUGGGGAGCAAACAGGAUUAGAAACCCCUGUAGUCCCAUG